CGAAAUCGGUAGACGCUACUGGACUUAAAAUCCGUCGAUUUAAGAAAUCGUGAGGGUUCAAGUCCCUCUAUCCCC
RNAcentral lists this transfer RNA (75 nucleotides) under Adesmia erinacea. RNAcentral describes it as "partial tRNA-Leu". The record is from RNAcentral. Lineage: Eukaryota; Viridiplantae; Streptophyta; Magnoliopsida; Fabales; Fabaceae.